AACGAACGCUGGCGGCAGGCUUAACACAUGCAAGUCGAGCGCCCCGCAAGGGGGGCGGCAGACGGGUGAGUAACGCGUGGGAACGUACCUUUUGGUUCGGAACAACUCCGGGAAACUGGAGCUAAUACCGGAUAAGCCCUAACGGGGAAAGAUUUAUCGCCGAAAGAUCGGCCCGCGUCUGAUUAGCUAGUUGGUGAGGUAACGGCUCACCAAGGCGACGAUCAGUAGCUGGUCUGAGAGGAUGAUCAGCCACACUGGGACUGAGACACGGCCCAGACUCCUACGGGAGGCAGCAGUGGGGAAUAUUGGACAAUGGGCGCAAGCCUGAUCCAGCCAUGCCGCGUGAGUGAUGAAGGCCUUAGGGUUGUAAAGCUCUUUUGUCCGGGAAGAUAAUGACUGUACCGGAAGAAUAAGCCCCGGCUAACUUCGUG
RNAcentral lists this ribosomal RNA (431 nucleotides) under uncultured bacterium. RNAcentral describes it as "partial 16S ribosomal RNA". It matches the Rfam family "Bacterial small subunit ribosomal RNA", at positions 29 to 507 of the family's 1533-position model. The record is from RNAcentral.